GAUGAAGAACGUAGCGAAAUGCGAUAAGUAAUGUGAAUUGCAGAAUUCAGUGAAUCAUCGAAUCUUUGAACGCACAUUGCGCCCGCCAGUAUUCUGGCGGGCAUGCCUGUUCGAGCGUCAUUACAACCCUCAGGCCCCCGGGCCUGGCGUUGGGGAUCGGCGGAGCCCCCCGUGGGCACACGCCGUCCCCCAAACGCAGUGGCGGUCCCGCCGCAGCUUCCAUCGCGUAGUAGCUAACACCUCGCGACUGGAGAGCGGCGCGGCCACGCCGUAAAACACCCAACUCUUCUGAAGUUGACCUCGAAUCAGGUAGGAAUACCCGCUGAACUUAAGCAUAUCAAUAAGCGGAGGA
This 352-nucleotide unclassified non-coding RNA is filed under the name soil metagenome. RNAcentral's name for it is "partial contains 5.8S ribosomal RNA, internal transcribed spacer 2, and large subunit ribosomal RNA". The stretch from base 1 to 120 matches the Rfam family "5.8S ribosomal RNA", at positions 35 to 154 of the family's 154-position model. The record is from RNAcentral.